GAGUUUGAUCAUGGCUCAGAUUGAACGCUGGCGGCAUGCCUUACACAUGCAAGUCGAACGGUAACAGGUCUUCGGAUGCUGACGAGUGGCGAACGGGUGAGUAAUACAUCGGAACGUGCCCCGAUCGUGGGGGAGUACGGAGCGAAAGCUUGUCUAAUACCGCAUACGAUCUACGGACUGAAAGACAGGGGACCGGCCGAAGG
This 203-nucleotide ribosomal RNA is filed under the name uncultured microorganism. Its description in RNAcentral is "partial 16S ribosomal RNA". It matches the Rfam family "Bacterial small subunit ribosomal RNA", at positions 9 to 236 of the family's 1533-position model. The record is from RNAcentral.